AGGACGAACGCUGGCGGCGUGCUUAACACAUGCAAGUCGAGCGGAAAGGCCCUUCGGGGUACUCGAGCGGCGAACGGGUGAGUAACACGUGAGUAAUCUGCCCCUAGCUCUGGGAUAGCUCCGGGAAACCGGGAUUAAUACCAGAUACGACCACUUUAGACAUCUGCUGUGGUGGAAGAAUUUCGGCUAGGGAUGAGCUCGCGGCCUAUCAGCUUGUGGUGAGGUAACGGCUCACCAAGGCGACGACGGGUA
RNAcentral lists this ribosomal RNA (252 nucleotides) under uncultured bacterium. RNAcentral describes it as "partial small subunit ribosomal RNA". It matches the Rfam family "Bacterial small subunit ribosomal RNA", at positions 26 to 285 of the family's 1533-position model. The record is from RNAcentral.